Pseudoliparis swirei is the source of this 218-nucleotide long non-coding RNA. RefSeq lists it as uncharacterized. NCBI's taxonomy places the organism in Eukaryota, Metazoa, Chordata, Actinopteri, Perciformes, Liparidae. The record is from RefSeq and is a predicted model, not a curated record. The transcript has 3 exons.
GUUCGCUCUGUUUUCUCGGACCUGCGUACACCGAAACGUGCGCGAGGAGGGCGGUGCUCCGGUACAGGUGCAGCCGGAGCUUUCUUCUCACACUCUCCACACACAUGGUGGCAGGACCUGUUGGCACGGUCCAGACCCGGGUGGUCCAGACCAGGGUCCAGACCAGGGUCCAGGUCCUGGUCUUCCUUCAAAGCCGAUUUCCUGAAACUUGCUUCGGC